AAACUAACAAGGAUUCCCCUAGUAGCGGCGAGCGAAGCGGGAAGAGCUCAAAUUUGUAAUCUGGCAGCAAUGCCCGAGUUGUAAUCUAUAGAGUCGUUUUCGGUGCCGGACCGCGUCCAAGUCCCUUGGAACAGGGUAUCAAAGAGGGUGAGAAUCCCGUGCUUGACGCGACGACCGGGGCUGUGUGAUACGUCUUCUACGAGUCGAGUUGUUUGGGAAUGCAGCUCUAAACGGGUGGUAAAUUCCAUCUAAAGCUAAAUAUUGGCGAGAGACCGAUAGCGAACAAGUACCGUGAGGGAAAGAUGAAAAGCACUUUGGAAAGAGAGUUAAACAGUACGUGAAAUUGUUGAAAGGGAAACGAUUGAAGUCAGUCGUGUUCAUUGGUUUCAGCGGGUUCUGCCCGUGUAUUACCUUUGAACGGGUCAACAUCGGUUAGAUUGGGUGCAGAAAGGCGUUGGGAAGGUAGCACCCUCGGGUGUGUUAUAGCCCGGCGUCAUAUACACUCGACCUGACCGAGGCUUGCGGUGUGCCUCUUUUGAGGCGGUCUCUUUGGACCCCCACACCUGGGAUGUUGGCAAAAUGGUAAACA
Molecule: ribosomal RNA, 589 nt
Filed under: Bulleribasidium pseudovariabile
Lineage: Eukaryota; Fungi; Basidiomycota; Tremellomycetes; Tremellales; Bulleribasidiaceae
Description: LSU rRNA
Rfam family: Eukaryotic large subunit ribosomal RNA
Source: RNAcentral